This 591-nucleotide long non-coding RNA is filed under the name Mytilus galloprovincialis (Mediterranean mussel). The record is from RNAcentral. Lineage: Eukaryota; Metazoa; Mollusca; Bivalvia; Mytilida; Mytilidae.
UGGUAGCGUAGCAGGCAAAACAGUUAAGGCACUGGUCUAAAUAUGGUAACACAGAAACUCGAUCAUUGACUUACUAAAUACAUGUACAACAGAUAACAAGAUUAAUAAAGCUUCACAAUUUAUUAUAUACAAAACAUUCAAUACUAUUCCAAGUAUAAAGCACAUGAAAACCCAACAGAACACUUAAUAAAAUAUACAGAGACCCCCCUUUUCGGUACGUUAAUCGUUUGUCAACAUCGUAGUAAACGUAGUAAAACAUCUAGGUCAAUUAUGGUUUGGUCCAUUUAUUCAACGGGGAUGCAUACACUAGCAAGGUACAUGCAUUGCAUCGACUGCGGCACUUUUGGUUUGCCUUGGUAAGUUCCUUGGUAUCAGGAGUGACUGCCCUGGUAGCGGGACGCAGUCUAUCUGAAGACUGUUGUGCACUUGCUUUUAUAUCUCUGUCCCACCAACGUCUCGUGCCCCUAUGGAGAUCGUGGGCAAAUUACGUUAUGCUGAUUGGAUGCUGAUCUCAGGUCAUUAGGUCACUGACGUCAAUAAACAUAGUGAUGCAAAUGGCGGCGAUCGGAAUGUUGACGUUCUGUCGAGUCG